AGUUAUUAUAAUAAUAUAAACUAUGAAUAAUAUAAAUUAAUAUCUACUGAUUAUUUAUUACUUCUUAUAAUAGAGGACAGUCCAUAAGCAACAAAUGUUUCGUAAAUCGUGGUAAGUACACUUUAAAUAGAUUAUUAUUUUUAAAAAAAACAAAGGUUUUAGGGGCCUAAACACAAACAAAUUAAUCGCUUUUUUGAGAACUACUGUCUAUUGAUGAUUUUUUAAAACCGAAACCUGUAGUAAACACGCAAGUAGUAGAAAAAUGGGGUACCUCGCACUGACAGAUAUUUUCAGUUUUAAAAACUAAUUUCAGAUCUCAAUUUACAUUGUUUUCUUAUUGUUCUCUGUUCACAUAAUUAUAUUAAAAGAAUAUUUGUAAUGUUAUAACUUUCGAAAUAGGAAGUCCUGAUAGUUUUAUCAAUAAUAAACGUCCAAAAUAUCAAGAUAUCACAUCAAGAUUUUCCCAUAUUAGGUGUGUAUCUCACACCUAAUAAAUUUAAAAAUGCAACACCAAAGUACGUAUUAAAUCUUACUAGACGACCGGACAAUGUUAGUGGAAAUAGAUAUAAUAUUAUUUUGAAUGCAAAAUUUAAUGAGGAUGUACCAAAUUGUACAAUUCGAUAUAUUAGUUUAGUUUCAACUUCUGAAUUUACAUACAAUAUUUUUAAUAAUGCAAUUAAAAUAUCUAAUAAUAAAAAUAUUUUUCAAUAGAAAUAUUGAAUUAAGAAAAAGAAUGGGUUUAUUAUGUUAAUAAAUAUGGAUAAAGAAUUUUUAUGACCAAUAUACUGUCACAAAUGCAAAAGAAAACUAAAAUUUUAAACCAAUCAAGGUUUAAAUAACAAUUGGAUUUCGGAAAAUUUCAACACAAUGUUUAAAAUAUAAAACAAACUAAAGUAAAUUUAUUAAAUCACCUUUAGGAAAAGAAACAAUAUCUAAAAUAAAAUACGAAAAAAUAUCAGAACAAGAUAAUCUAAGUAAUGCAAAAGGACUUCAUAAAAUAGUAAGAUCCCAAUUUACAAAAAGGAGAAUAAAUACACAAGGUAUCGAUAAAUUAUGGGCUGUUAUAGAUACUUUUUCAAAAUUUGCAUGGGCUGAACCUCCUAAAAAGAAAGAUGGGAAAAAUGUUACAAAAUCUUUUGAAGAAAUAAUAAAAAGAGCGAAAUUACAGGAACACAAUUCUCCAAUAUUACUUUACACUAAAAAAAGAACAGACUUUGUAAACAAACAGUUUAUAGAAUGUUAAUAAAAUACAUCAUAAAAUUAUAUUAUAUACAAAAUUAUGAGAAUUCUGCAAUUAUUAAAUGUUUCAACAGAAAUUUAAAUGCUAAAAUGAGUAAUACAGUUUGAAUUUCAAAAAAAUAAAAGAUUCAUUGAUAUUUUACAAAAUUUGUUAAACGAAAAUAAUUUCAAAGAUAUUCAUCGAUCAAUUUGAAUGAUACCAUUCAAAGUAAACAAAUAUAAUUAAGAAAAAGUUUUUAACUAAAUUAUUCCUUAAUGAAACAUCCAAUGAAGAUGUAUUUUGGGCUAAGGAUUCUGAUUGGCUAUUCAACCAGGUUAUAAAUAUGUAUAGUUAUAAAUUACUUAAUGGAGCAUCAUGUAUUAAAUUAUCAAAAAAGAUAUCUGAUAUAAAAGCUAUUACCAAUAUUGCGAAUAAAGUUGAUAAAUAUUUUCUUUAGUCAAUUUUUGCCACUUUACAGUGACAAAAGAUGCAAACAGGGUUAGUAAUUAUUAUAAAUGAGAAAAUUAAUUAACUAUAUUAAAUGAACAGAUACAGAUUCUUUAUUAGUAAAAAUUAUAACUGAUGACUUUUAUACAGAUGUAAUUAAUAAUGAACAAUUUUAAAUGAAUUUGAUUUUUCAGAUUAUCUUGGAUUAAGAUCUAAUUUAUAUAUAUUUAAAGUAUUUAAAAACGUAAAUGAAAUUAAGAAGGCGAAAGGUGUUAAAAAACCCAUAGUUAAAAUUAAUUAUGUUUCAAUGAUUUUUAAAAUUGUUAAAAAUAAAAUUCCACAACAUGUAAAACAUAACACUUUUAGAACAGAUAAACAUAAUAUUUAUUGUUGAACAAAACAAUAAAGCUCUGAUGCAUCUGAUGCAUCUGAUGAUAAAAGACAUAUUCUGAAAAAUGGUAUUGAUACAGUAUCUUGGGAAAAUUAUUCAACAACAGAAAAAGAAAGAGAAAAUUUCUAAGAUCACCUUAAUAAUUUAAUAAAAACAAAUAUUAAAAAAGAAUAAUAAUUUUAAUAUAAGUUAUUUUUGAGAAAGGAUCUAUUGCACGCACGAUGCUUAAUUUAUUAUAUAUUUUUUUUUUUUUUUUUAAGAAAACUGUUUUAGCACAAUGUUUAUGUGAAAAUAGUUUUUCUAAGCUCUUUAAAAAUAAUAAAUAUAUACUUCUCUUUUUGUGAUACAAUUUUUUUUAAUAUUAUUAAUGUAAGUUUUUUAAAUUUUUAUUUUAAUUUAAUUAUUUUAAAUGUAUUUUUUUUUAAAUUUUUUUUUCAUAUAAUUGUGUGAACUAAUAAUAAUAAGGAAACAAGAUGAACAGAGAUCUGAAAUUAUAUUUUCAAAGUAAAAAUAUUUGGCUUCUCCAGGAUCCUCAUUUUUCUACAACACACACAACAAUAUAUAAUAUUAUAGGCUUUUUGUUGAUAAUUUAGAUUAUCUGUUUAGAUAAAAUGUUUGUGCUGUUUAUAUAAUAUUAUCAUAAUCCUGAUAAUAUUAAAAUAACUUAACAGUGGCAUAUAUAGGAAGGGGCACAGUGGGCCAUAAGCCCACCUCGUAUUAGUAUUGUAAUCAUCUCGCACAUUGAAAAUUGUUUUUAAUAUUAUUUAUUUAAUGAAUUAAAUUUAUCAUGCCUCAAUUAUUGAAAUACACAUUUUAUUUUUUAAAUAAUUAUUUUUAUGGCCCUAAUAAGAGGUACACAUGCAAAACAAAUGACCAAUGUAUAACUUGAUAUUUAUAGUAAAUACUAUUUUAUGUAAUUCUGUGAAAUGUGAAACAUAUUUUAGCUAAAAUUAUUUUUAUACAAAUAGUUGUUACUGUAACAUUAUUUGUUUUUUUUUUGUUUUUCUUUAGUUCCACACAAGAUCCAAAGUCUCAAUUUCAUUACAGCAAUAUUACAAUAUAAGAGUUUAAAUACAUAAACCUAAUGAACUGAAAUAAACAUAGUAGCACAACAUUAUAUUCACUAUUUCGCAAUCAAACUUUAUUUGCUAUUAUUAUUAGCUAUUAUUAAAAUUUACUGUAAUAUUAUUGAUAAUUAUUUUCAUAAUAUUAUAAGUUCAUUAUUAAUAAGUGUGUAUCAUUGUUAAAUUACAUACUUAAUAUCAUGUAUGUAAUAAAUUUAAUAAUACAUGAUAAUACAAUAUGUUUAAUUAAGUUGAUCUGUUAAAAAUUUAAAAUUUAAUCAAUGAC
Molecule: long non-coding RNA, 3407 nt
Filed under: Cinara cedri
Lineage: Eukaryota; Metazoa; Arthropoda; Insecta; Hemiptera; Aphididae
Source: RNAcentral